This 583-nucleotide long non-coding RNA is filed under the name Homo sapiens (human). Its description in RNAcentral is "HSALNT0298252". Lineage: Eukaryota; Metazoa; Chordata; Mammalia; Primates; Hominidae. The record is from RNAcentral.
AAAAAUGUUCAAGAAUCUUUACAGUAACUGUUACAGACUAAAUUGUGUACUCCCCAAAUUCAUAUAAUAAAGCUCUAUACUCCAAUGUGACUAUAUUUGGGCCUACAAAGAGAUGAUAAUAAUGGUUAAGUGAGGUCAUAAAGCUGGAACUUUAAGUUGAUUGGGCUGCUUCUUAAUAAGAAGAGGAAGCAACACCAGAGAUAUUUCUGUCUCCAUUUGUACAUACAAAAGAGGCCAUGUGAGGACACAGCCAUUCCUCUCUUCUGAGCUCCUCUCUGGCCAACUUUAACUCAUCGAUUGGUUCUGCCACCCGCAACGUUGGCUCCAAAGGCCUGUAGCGUUGUUCUAAUACUUCGGUGAUAUCUCGGAAGGGCCCCUGACAAGACAGGAUGAGGAACAUAUUUUAUAUGGAAGAUUUUUUUGAGGUUAUCACUAACAAGACACAGCUGGAGUUACUGCAAGCACUGAGUGAAGACUGUGGGGCUAAUAAAAAGAAAUGAUUCACGCCUCAUUUAUGUUCACUUAUGCUUUACAUUAAUAGAAACCAAUAAUAGGAACCAGUUACCAUAAAAGUCAUGGACCG